GCACCAUCAUCAUGAACAACCUGCACAAUAAAAUAAACAUUCAAUAAUCAUUAUCUGCACAAUAAAAUAAACAUUCAAUAAUCAUUAUGUAUGAGACUGGUUAUGAGUUAGGCUUAAUGGUCUAAAAAUCCCCAUCUUUGUGCAAGUUUUAAAUUGUUUUAUACACUUAUAACAUUAUCAAUCUGGUUCAUAAGUUACUGAUGUUAUUUCAAUUAUAUCCAAUGGCUUGGAGUGUGUGCCCGUAUGACAUGGUGCUCAGGCAAACUUUUAACAUGGACAAAAAUAGCGGACUCAAACAAUGGGGCCCUUCCCUGUUAUUGUGACACUUUCUGUUCACUAAUUAUCAUGCAACGAUAAAAGCUAAAAUCAUGCUUAGCCAUGUUGAAAACAUCAAAACACAUGCAUAUAGGAAAUAAGACCCAAAACAUUAUUUGUUUCCCAAGUCACAAUCAAUUUUAAAUUCUAUUAAAGUCUGCUGUCAGCAUCAAAAGGCUGUGUUAUGAAUCCAGCUAAAAGCCUAGAUGAGGUUGCCCAGGAAACUCAAGUUGUAUUACAGAAGAAAUAAAUAAGAAAAAUUAUAAAAAAAAAAAAAAA
RNAcentral lists this unclassified non-coding RNA (594 nucleotides) under Hevea brasiliensis (rubber tree). Lineage: Eukaryota; Viridiplantae; Streptophyta; Magnoliopsida; Malpighiales; Euphorbiaceae. The record is from RNAcentral.